This is an RNA transcript of Plutella xylostella (diamondback moth), 1271 nucleotides long. RefSeq lists it as uncharacterized. The record is from RefSeq and is a predicted model, not a curated record. Lineage: Eukaryota; Metazoa; Arthropoda; Insecta; Lepidoptera; Plutellidae.
CGGCGUCCGACUUUGGCGUAAACGUUUCGAUCAACGUCUGGACGCCAGGAACAACGUCAGCGGUCAAUCAUAAACUAUACGCGAAUGUCGACGUCCUAUUCACAAAGUAGAAGUCAAACAGUGCUUGUGUGUGGUGCCGUGCAUUUUGUACUGCCGCUGCCGCCAAACACAACGUUCAUGCUCGAAUGCUUCGAAAUCACGAAAUGACUAGAGUAGAGACGCGGCGCACGGCCAUUUACGCCGUCGUAGGUCGCAUCCAGCGCCACGCCCCGUAGGCCGCGUCGAUACGAUCGAUGCUCACUUCACUAUAGAAAUGUACUGAUGCGGUCUCCCUCACUCACACGCCGACGCGACGUUGGCGCGUAAAUGCCGUAGGCUGCGUCCAUACGCCGUGCGCCACGUCACCACGUCUCUAGUCAUUUCGAAGCAUUGGAGCGUGAACGUUGUGUUUGGCGUCAGUACAAAAUGUCGAAUUUUAAUGUAGAAAAGGAUGAGUUAUUGAUUGAAUCAGUUAAAUGUUAUAAUGCACUGUUCAAUAAAAGUGACAAGGAAUAUAAAAAUUAUAUUUAUAAACACAAAUGUUGGGAGCAAAUUAGCGAAAUUGUCGGAUUGCCAGUUGCAGAUUGCAAAACCAGGUGGAAAAGUCUUCGAGACCAGUACAAUAAAAAGAUAAAAGAGGGUAGCGGCACAGGUUCAGCAAGAUUAAAUUGUACUUGGCAAUAUAUAAAUCUGAUGUCAUUCUUAUCAGAUGCCGUAAAUGAUUCACAGACAGGCAUUGAUUUUGAUGGAGACAUUUUGAUGACAACUGUUACAGAGGUUAAGGCCGAAAACAUACCGGCACAGGUAAACGUAGAUGACACUGAUGAGCCACCUCCAGGACCAUCCACAUCAGCCAUCCAUCCAUCAAGAUCCAAGAAACGAAAGCAAAGUAAAUUACAAGAAACUCAAAGACUAAAUUUACUAAAGACCGUUGUAAACAAUACACAGAAACAACCGCAAGUUCAACCUCCGUCGGCAACCAAAAAGUUUUUUGAGUCAAUGGCUGAAGUGGUAGAAACUUUCCCGCCGCGUGAACAAGCUAUCAUUAGAGCAAAAGUUUGUCAGUUAAUAACCGAUAUAGAAAUAGAACUGUCUUCAACAGGAACUCCUAUGCCUGAACAUGCUUGGGAUAGUGAUUAUUUUAACUUGAGAAAAGGGUCAAAAUAAUUAUUUAAUAUUCGAUUUUUAAUUUGACUGUUUGGUAUAAGUAUUAUAAGUUGAGUAUCUAAAAA